This is a non-coding RNA of Podarcis lilfordi (Lilford's wall lizard), 74 nucleotides long. The record is from the annotation of a GenBank genome assembly. Lineage: Eukaryota; Metazoa; Chordata; Lepidosauria; Squamata; Lacertidae.
GAUUUUGUAGCUCAGUUGGUUAGAGUGUGCUGCUGAUAAUGCAAAGGUUGCAGGUUCGAUCACCGUAAGGGACA